Non-coding RNA from Rattus norvegicus (Norway rat), 8373 nucleotides. Lineage: Eukaryota; Metazoa; Chordata; Mammalia; Rodentia; Muridae. The record is from RefSeq and is a predicted model, not a curated record.
UCCCUUUUCAUUUCUGAUUUUGUUAAUUUGGACGCACUCUCUGUGUCCUCUCGUUAGUCUGGCUAAGGGUUUAUCUAUCUUGUUGAUUUUCUCAAAGAACCAACUUUUGGUUCUGUUGAUUCUUUCUAUGGUCCUUUUUGUUUCUACUUGGUUGAUUUCAGCUCUGAGUUUGAUUAUUUCCUGUCUUCUACUCCUCCUGGGUGUAUUUGCUUCUUUUUGUUCUAGAGCUUUUAGGUGUGCUGUCAAGCUGCUGACAUAUGCUCUUUCUUGUUUCUUUCUGCAGGCACUCAGCGCUAUGAGUUUUCCUCUUAGCACAGCUUUCAUUGUGUCCCAUAAGUUUGGGUAUGUUGUACCUUCAUUUUCAUUAAAUUCUAAAAAGUUUUUAAUUUCUUUCUUUAUUUCUUCCUUGACCAGGUUAUCAUUGAGUAGAGCAUUGUUCAAUUUCCAAGUAUAUGUGGGCAUUCUUCCUUGAUUGUUAUUGAAGACCAGUUUUAGGCUGUGGUGGUCUGAUAGCACGCAUGGGAUUAUUUCUAUCUUUCUGUACCUGUUGAGGCCCGCUUUUUGACCAAUUAUAUGGUCAAUUUUGGAGAAAGUACCAUGAGGAGCUGAGAAGAAGGUAUAUCCUUUUGCUUUAGGAUAGAAUGUUCUAUAAAUAUCCGUUAAGUCCAUUUGGCUCAUGACUUCUCUUAGUCUGUCUACAUCUCUGUUUAAUUUCUGCUUCCAUGAUCUGUCCAUUGAUGAGAGUGGGGUGUUGAAAUCUCCCACUAUUAUUGUGUGAGGUGCAAUGUGUGUUUUGAGCUUUAGUAAGGUUUCUUUUACAUAUGUAGGUGCCCUUGUAUUUGGGGCAUAGAUAUUUAGGAUUGAGAGUUCAUCUUGGUGGAUUUUUCCUUUGAUGAAUAUGAAGUGUCCUUCCUUAUAUUUUUUGAUGACUUUUAGUUGAAAAUUGAUUUUAUUUGAUAUUAGAAUGGCGACUCCAGCUUGCUUCUUCUGACCAUUUGCUUGGAAAAUUGUUUUCCAGCCUUUCACUCUGAGGUAAUGUCUGUCUUUGUCUCUGAGGUGUGUUUCCUGUAGGCAGCAGAAUGCAGGGUCCUCGUUGCGUAUCCAGUUUGUUAAUCUAUGUCUUUUUAUUGGGGAGUUGAGGCCAUUGAUGUUGAGAGAUAUUAAGGAAUAGUGAUUAUUGCUUCCCGUUAUAUUCAUAUUUGGAUAUGAGGUUAUGUUUGUGUGCUUUCAUUCCCUUUGUUUUGUUGCCAAGAGGAUUAGUUUCUUGCUUCUUCUAGGGUAUAGCUGUAGGCAACACUUUUUAAUCCCAAAUUUAUAGAUAGGAUAAUUGAGGCACAGACAUCCUAAAAAUUCUCCACAAAGGUGGUAAGGUAAGGGUUUGGACCCAAUGAUUCUGGUUCAGGUGUCUCCAUCUUUAACACUGUGCUUGCCACCUCUUCAAAAUCAAUGGAGAAUGGCCCCAGUAUGAGAUGUGAGUCUUGGAGGGUGCAGAGCCCAACUCCCCUUGCGUUUAGCUUGUGGUGCUUCCCCCAGUUUGCAUACAUUGCUGUUUGGGGUUUAAAGGAUUUUAUGUGUAAUCUUAUUUAAUAAACUGAGUGUGUCCUCAGAAAGAAAGCAACUAAGGAUAUAAUUUUCUUCAAGUCCACAAUAGUAGGGACUUUGCAGAGACCCUGUGCAUUCUGACAGUUUAAUGGGAAGCCACGGAGUUUCACAGUUUGAGGGAGGAUGGCCAGUCCUCUGAUGCAUUAAUUACAAGGAAACUGAAUUCUUAGGAACAAGUGUGGUACCAUCUCAAUUGGGAAGUGCUCAGCACAAAGAUCAGACAAAGAAACAAAGCAAAGCCUCCUUUGAUCAGAAUGCCCCCAACCCCAAUUUCCUUUCAUAAAUGGAGGAAUCUCAUACAGUCAAUCAUAAGCAUUUUUAGUUUGAACAGUAGUGCAUCAGAGUACAAUCAUUCCCUUGAACAUGGAGAGUGUCUGUCCUACAGACACUAUAAUUACUUUUGGACUGAAUCCGUUUUGCUCUAGUCUGGGUAAAGACUGUUUUGCUUGUGUGGUUGAGGAAGUGGAGUUCUGUAGUAACUUUCUGGAGAGUGUCAAGGAAGCCCACUGAUUUCUUCCACUCAUUCCCUGACUAGGUACCACAAGUCAUGAAUUAAGGGUUGACUUUGGUUCCUGGCAAGGUGAGUCCAUAUUGUCUUUCUUUGGAAUGGAUUAGAGGUUCCCUCAGGGGCAGGUUUCCAAGUCCUUUUCUUCAAGUCCAAAUGUUGAUUAUUUUCUUUACCCAUAGGCCUGGAGUUCAAGGGCAAGGGUGGCUUUUGGGGAGGGAAUCAGACAGGAGGUUUUUAGAAUAAACAUCUUGAUACGCAUUCCAUGACCCCUAUUUACUUCAAAGGGCUGUUAAGUGCAGGCAGGGCUGAGAAUACCAGAAUAGAACAGCUUCUGUAACGGAACUGCCUUUGCUUGCUUUUCAGACUGAUGAAGCUAACUAUCGCCUUCCAAACCUAGACCAUGUUUCCUUCCCAUUUCCCUCCUUUUAGAAUCACAACCCUGCUGUCUAUCUGUCACAAGGACAAUCUCUGCCUUGCUUAUUUACCAAUCGUCAAGGAGCCUGGGAGAAGCCAGUGACUGACAGCAGGCAUCUAAGAAGAUGCAGGACCCAUGCUUAGAGGAGAACAGAAGAUGAGCAGUGUCAAGUACAUCCUUCCAGCCGUUAUGGAAAUAACUGACAUUGAAAAUUGAAAAAGAAAAGAACGCAACCUUAUCAACUCCCGCCUUUUCCAUGGACACCGAUGGUCCUGACAUGGAAGAUGAAGUGAUGGUCUGAAUUUUCACCUGGACCUUCAUGGAAGGAUAGCCUCCUUAGUUUACUGUCCGUCAACAGAGCUUCAAACUCAAAGAGCAAAAGACAAGAGUCCCAUAGACUUUUGAGAAAGCACUUCAGUUUGGAAUUAAUCCCUGAUCCGCCCAGGUGAAUUUGUUACUUAGUAACAACAGUUAAAGGAGGAUAAAAUGGAGACUCUCAAUCAAAGCCCUGCUUUCUGAAACCUUAGCACCAACCUAUUUCCCCCAUCACUUGUUUCCAAGAUGCACGAUUCAUCUGGUCUCUAAUGUGCAAAACUCAGCUCUACAAACAUUCCUAGAACAUCCCUGUUGCAGUUUUUAGGAAUAUUGUCUCUGUGUACUAAGAUUAACAGGAAAUUUCAGAGCCAGGCAUUUUUAUCUUUUUCUAGAGUUUUGAAUCCACUUGUUUUCAAGAUUUGUGGUCUCCAUUCUCUUGCUCAGUUCCAUGUAUUGAGCUCUGUCUGUGCCUUCAAGGUUUUGCACGUUGAUGUUUUAUGGCAAUGCUUCUCAGCCUGGCUCAGGAGCCCCUGCCAAACACUCUCUAAUUCAUGAUGCCACCUGGCGGUGAAUUGAGAUACUGCAGAAUAACCUGGGCUAGGAGAAGGAAGAGUGGAGUAGAAGGAGUUCUGAUUAAUGCAAUAAUGAUAAUUUUUACAGUUGCCCGAUCUUUAACUCAAAGGAGAGUAGAGGUCAUGUAGACAAGAGUAUUCCAUUUUUGAAAUCCUGCACCUUUCUUCAGAACAGAGAACCGGCAACAGGAUCCCAGGGAACUGUCCUUCCUGGGGCUAGUCCUGGGCCUUUGUUUAAAGUAGGUAUCAAAUAAAGGCACUCCAAGGAGAAAAAUGUGACAUCCAACAAAUUUAACAACAUUUCAAGGAUCUGCUUGCUUUAGUUUAUUCAGGUGCCUUUGGCUCAGGAAACAGAGUUACGCUUGGUUAAAAGUUUUGUGGCUCAGAGCUGCUGCUAAAGUAAUCAAAGCCGCCCACAGCCUCACAAAGCAAGGUAAUCCGGAUCAGACAGCUCCUAAAUUUGAGACCUUCUGAUCCUGCUUAUGUGACAGUUAGGAAGGAAAUAUUUAACCUUUCGCUAGACUUUGCUGAAGCCUUUGAGGGGCUGGCAUUCCCUGUGUUUCUAGCAUUACCUAGCUCAUCCCCACAGGAAAGUAGAGGGGGGUUGAAAUACAACUCUUUGAGCAGGGAAGAAAGUUGCAGUUGCAAGAGGGCAAAGAACACUUCAAACGGAGUUUUAGGCAUCUGCACGUCUCAUGCAGGGUAAGUCACUAAGAUGCAAUCUGGCGUUUUAAGCUCCAACUUUUAGUGAUAGGAUUGCUUUCCGCUAACGUACCCCAAUUGGUCUAACUGGUUGAGCAGUAGGCUGGAGUUUUGUUCCUGCUGGUCAGUGGGUAAGGUCCUAGAAACUUUAGAUAUCCUGUGCAUAGCACCUCCAUGCACUCCUUUGGGGCCCACAAUGCCCUACUAGUUGGAGCUAUCCCACAGGGUCUUUGGAACAGUUGUAGGCUUGGAGGGACAACUGCAAUGAUUUGGAGAAAGAAGAGGUCAUGAGUUCUCUUGCCCCUUAGGUCUUUCUCUGAAUACUUGAUCUUCCUCUUUCCUCUUUAAAAUUUCUUCCAAAUGUUUAUUAUUUUAUUUUUCAUUAACAAAUCUUCAAUAAUAUAAGCACAAGACAGCAGGGCCGAUGCUCAUGUAAUAGCCUAAUGUCAUCUGACCCAAAUUUUUUAAUCAUUUAGAGACUAGAGAUGAUGGCUUAUCUAACAUCAUAGAAAUGAGUUAUUUUUCAUAAAAAUAACCUUAUUUUUUUAUUCUGCCGUUGUUUAGGCAAAAACUUGUAAAAUCCCUGAGGCCAGCCACUUUUCUCACUGUUGCUAUUUCCAACACACGCACACACACACACACACACACACACACACACACACACACACACACACAUUUUUGAAUUAAAAAAUUGUAUGUAUGUCUUGCCAGAAUGUGUGUCUGUAUACUACAUUGGUACAGUGUCAGCUGAGGCUUCAGACCCCUGAGACCGGAGCUUCAGAUAAUAGUGAGCCUCCAUGGGGUGCUCAAAGUUGAACCCAGAAGGACAAACAGUACUCAACUGCUGAGCCAUCCAUCUGUCCACCCUACUCCCUCAGAGUUCAUGUAAGAUUCCUUCUCACAUCUGUGGCUUGGUAUGUAUUAUUGCUUCUUUGUGAAAUUGGUCUUCCCACUAUUGGUCUGCAAGACUGAUUGGUGGUUAUUCUACAAUACCUCCCAGACAUAGUCCAGCAGAGCUCUCUCUCUCCCAGGUACUCUACACACCGGUGUCCUUCCUACUGUUGUUAGUUUGUAAUGUGAUGAUUCUUCUUUUCACACUUUUCUUUACUCUAUGGUACAGCUAUAUAGCCUCCAGAAGCCGCGAAGCUUUUGGUGAAUGUACCCAUGUAUAUGUCGAUAUCUUCAGGGGCCAGUCCAAACAACUCUCGGAUGCCUUGGCCCAUGGUACCUGUACAGCCAAUACUGUGAGCUUCAUCCAUGUAGAGGUGGGGUUGCUGCUAAAAGGGAAGUCAGAAGUUCAUUCUCAGAUACACAUCCCCAAGAUGGAGAGUUGCCCAGAGGACCAGAAAAGGCAAGAGGAGAGAGCAAGUGCAAGGAUGAUGACAGAUAUAUGGAAGGCAGCAUUAGAUCUGCUUCUCUGUGCUGCUAACAUCCCAGCCCUUGUUCCGAGUACAGACACUUGGGGUGUGUUGACCAUGUGAAAGCCCGUGAGGACAUACGCUUCUUCAGCAAAGAGUUGGCUUCACAUUCUGAUCUUCAGAACCUAAUACAUCUGCAGAUCCAUUUGUGCAAGCCAGCAGAUGGUGCUUUUGAGAAACAAAAGGUCUGUUAUGGGGAGAAGGAGGUUCCCUUUUCUUCACACAGGUGAGUGCAAUGUGAGUAAAUGUGUUUUUGUUCAAGAAUGCUUUUUGAAAAAAUUUGCACAGCCUGGAAGGCGUUAUGAAUGCAGUGGCAAUGACAUCAUGUGGAAGAGUUCAGGGAUUCUGUAUUUACUAUUCUCUGCAGUAGUCACUGUUCUGGCAUGGCUUUCACGGGGAGGAUACUAAGUCAGAGAUGCUGUCACUAUCUAUGUGCUAUCAUUAGAGAUGUCAUUGCAGCUGAAACAUUAAAAAUAGUAUUUUUUAUAAUUUGAUGUAUUUUUGGAAACACUUCAAGUGUGUACUUUCCAAUAUUUUUGAAAGUCUUAAGUUCAGCUAAAAUGUCCCCUGAACUAUCGGAAGUUUAAUAAUAUCAAAAAACAUAAGGGACAGUGAGACAAAAGCAAAUCCAGCCCUUACUUUUCAGAUGCCACAUGAUGCUAGGCUGCUUUUCGCUUCCUCGCCAGUGGAAUAAUUCUUGGUUCAGUACAACCUUGCAGUGAGAAAAAAAGGACAUCGCUUGCCUUCAUCCUUUGAAAAACAAGAUCCCAUGGUUUUGCUUAUGAUAAGAAGCACUUUACUCUCACAGUACAUUCUCCCCUGAGAUUCAUUUUCAGUCUUUUUCUUUCUUUUAGAUGUGUGUGUGUAUGUGUGUGUGUGUGUGUGUGUGUGUGUGUGUGUGUGUGUGUGUGUGCGCGCGCGCGCGCGCCCAGAUGCAUGUGGUACAGGAGCGUGUGGAGGUCAGAUAUCAAGAUUGGGUGUCUUCUUCAGUUGCUCUCCACUGUUUAAUUUGAGACAGUGUCUCUCACUGAACCUGGAGCUCACUGAUUGGCUAGGCUGCCUAGUGAGGUCCUGAGAUUGACCAAUCUUUAGGUCCUCAGGAUUACUGGUGCACACUGCCACACCUGACUUUCUGUAGAUAUGUGAGAUCUGACAUGGUACCUCAUGUUUAGAGAGCAUGCAACUUACCAACCGAGUCAUCUCCUUAGCCUCCCUUUUGUUAUUGGAAUUGUGCAAAGAGAAAUAAAAGACAGUAUCUUUUUUUAUUGGAUAUUUUUUAUUUACAUUUCAAACGUUAGUCCCUUUCUCGGUUUCCUGCCCAUAAGCCCCCUAUCCCCUUCCCCUUCUUCUAUAAGGGUGUUCCCCCUCCCCAAUCACCCCCUUCCCGCCUCCCCAUCUUGACAUUCAUGCUGUAGGAAAAUGGAAGUGUGGAUUCACGUUUCUAGGACUUGAAUACUCCAUGAGAUGCUAAAGGAAGAAGAAAUGACAAUGCUAAAAUUCUAUUGGUUGCAUGAAGAGUAAUGGGAAAUUGCUCCUCUAACCUGUGUAAGGCCACAGGUCAAAUGUUGAAUAACACACACACACACACACACACACACACACACACACACACCCCUCUGACAGGAGAGUUGUGGUAAACCUACAGUUUAUAAAUCUACAGCUGUGCAGCUGUAACAUUGUGUGUGGGAGACUAAGGCAGGAAGGUAAUGAGUUUGAGAUAAGUGUGAUAUCUUUGUCACAUUGCCCUGACAAAAUACCUGACAAAAUUAACUUAAGCAAGGAGAGGCUUACCUUGGCUCCCAGUGGGAGGGCAUAGGGAAGCAGGCAAGGUGGCUCUGGCUGUGACAGCAGUAACAUGGGGCAGCUGCUCACAUCACAUUGUGGGCACAGUCAGGAACUAGGGAGAAAGGCAUGAUGGAGAUUCAGUUUCCUCUUUUUCAUUCAGUCCUUGACCCUGGGCUAUCGAAUGGUAUCAUUCACAAUUGGAGUGGGUCUUUCUACCUCCACUACUCCUCUCUGGAAACAUCUUCACAGCUAUGCUCAAAGGUUUAUCUCCUGGGGGACUCUAAAUUCCAUCAAGUUGACAAUGAAGACUAAUUAUCACAGAUCAUAUCUUUUUUUAAAAAAAAUUGGCUCUUGAUUAAUGGUUCCUUAAGAAUCCGCCGCCAAGUAUUCCUACAAUGUAGUUCAUGUUGCAUGGAAGUUAUCCUCUGAUGGGUUAUGUCAUGGAGUGAUAAUAUACUAAUCCUUCAUACUCAGACCUGUACAACAGUCUCUGGCAUUGGUAAUCCCCACUGAUAUUUUCCUUUUCAACUCUUGGAUAAUGUGCCCAUGUUAUUGUAUCCUGGGGUACUCUAGUGCUGACUGAGGAUGCUGCUGCCCACUCAUGGAAGGUGUGGGAAGUAUCGAGAAUUAACACUGCCAGAAGGCAAAUGCAAAUAGAAUUUAAACUCCCUUGCAUCUCAAGUGCAUGAGUCCUGUAGGUUCUCAAAGCUUUCUGGUGAUAAUUGACUUGUCUAACUUAAACUAUUAUGGGUGACUCCCUUUCCUCACUCCUUCAGCGUCUUACAGGUGUUUCCUGGACUUCAUGAACACACUAACUGAAACCAUGCUCCCGCUGAGGGUCACACUCUGUGGGAUUCCUAACACAAACACGGAAAUAUUGGCUCCAGUAGCUCUUGAAGUUGAAUCUCGUUUUAUGUGUGGAGUUUCCUUAGUUCUACUGCUUUUUAUUUCACUUUCACUACCACAGCUCUCUGAUUAAAGUCAUAAUGUGAACCUGGAAUAGGAAUAGGAACAUUGGUUUAUUUAGGAGGGUGAUACACACACACACACACACAC